CUUCAGGAAGCUCUACCAAAUUCAAGAAGGAACACGAUUCUGAAAUUCAACCGCAACGCGGCACACCCAGGAAGCACACCACACAAUUCAGCUCAAAAACAGAUGCAUCAUCACCUGCUUCCCAGCACUCGGAAGCAACCUCAGACGUUUCCAGUUUUUGGGGGAAGCACACGGAAAUGGGAAGAACAGAGCCACGCAUAGACGUUCUUCUUGAUGCAAACCUGGAGAAGAACAGACUGACCUUUUCCACCAGCUACACUGGAAAAGAAGUUGUUGAGAGCAGAGCAGCAACUUUCCUUCUAGGUAAGCAAGGCUCCCCAGCACCCC
This is a long non-coding RNA of Centrocercus urophasianus (Greater sage-grouse), 327 nucleotides long. RefSeq lists it as uncharacterized. The record is from RefSeq and is a predicted model, not a curated record. NCBI's taxonomy places the organism in Eukaryota, Metazoa, Chordata, Aves, Galliformes, Phasianidae. The transcript is spliced from 3 exons.